This 538-nucleotide ribosomal RNA is filed under the name uncultured bacterium. RNAcentral describes it as "bacterial SSU rRNA". It matches the Rfam family "Bacterial small subunit ribosomal RNA", at positions 777 to 1314 of the family's 1533-position model. The record is from RNAcentral.
AAUAGAUACCCCGGUAGUCCACGCCGUAAACGUUGGGCGCUAGGUGUGGGGGUCCUUCCACGACCUCCGUGCCGCAGCUAACGCAUUAAGCGCCCCGCCUGGGGAGUACGGCCGCAAGGCUAAAACUCAAAGGAAUUGACGGGGGCCCGCACAAGCGGCGGAGCAUGCGGAUUAAUUCGAUGCAACGCGAAGAACCUUACCAAGGCUUGACAUGCACAGGAAAGUUCCAGAGAUGGUUCCCCCGCAAGGUCUGUGCACAGGUGGUGCAUGGUUGUCGUCAGCUCGUGUCGUGAGAUGUUGGGUUAAGUCCCGCAACGAGCGCAACCCUUGUCUCAUGUUGCCAGCACGUAAUGGUGGGGACUCAUGAGAGACUGCCGGGGUCAACUCGGAGGAAGGUGGGGAUGACGUCAAAUCAUCAUGCCCCUUAUGUCUUGGGCUUCACGCAUGCUACAAUGGCCGGUACAAAGGGCUGCGAAACCGCGAGGUGGAGCGAAUCCCAAAAAGCCGGUCUCAGUUCGGAUUGGGGUCUGCAACUCCG